CCGACUGUUUUUUGUUGUCUCCUAUGCGGUGCGCUCUGAUCUCCGGGGAGCAAAAGCAAAACGCUCUCUCUCCCUUUCUCUCUCUAGUUCCCCAAUUUUCUAGGGUUUUAGCUCGUCGUUUCAAUCCGUUUUGAUUCUCCUAGGGUUGGGGUUUUAGGAUCUUCCGCAGAGAAGAAACAAUGGGAGGAGAGUGGCAGCAGCUCCUCCAAUCGAUAAUCCUCGGCCUCAUUUUCUCUCCUUCCUCCUCGCCAAGCUUAUCGCCAUAGUCAUCUCCUUCAAGGAAGACAAUCUCAGCCUCGCUCGCGCUCGCACUGCCGCCCCCGCCGAUACCAAUCCGCCGCCGCCCAAACCCGAGCCCUGCGACGACCCGCCUCGCUCCGCCGAUUUGAGCUCCGCGGCAAUCGAGGCCGAAUCGGUCGUCGCCGAGCACGGCAGCGUCAGGAACGAGAGCAGCGAAGGUGACAGUGAUGAUGACUGGGAAGGUGUGGAGAGUACGGAAUUGGACAAGCUGUUCAGCGCGGCGUCGGCGUUUGUCGCGGCGGCCGCGACGGAUCGGCAGAAGGUGUCGACUGAUGCGCAGUUGAAGCUUUAUGGGCUUUACAAGAUUGCUACUGAGGGUCCCUGCAGCGUGCCGCAGCCAUCGGCUCUGAAAAUGACUGCUCGCGCCAAAUGGCAAGCUUGGCAGAAAUUGGGUGCUAUGCCUCCUGAAGAUGCUAUGGAGAAGUACAUUGAUAUUGUCACAGAGCUUUAUCCUAACUGGGCAGCAGGUUUGACUGUGAAAAGCAGAGGAGGUGGAGAUGGUAGUGCACCUGGUAAUGAUUCUAAAGGACCAAUGGGACCGGUUUUCAGCACCUUUGUUUACGAGGAAGAAUCUGAAAAGGAUCUAAAGAUGGAUGCUAUUCAUGCCUUUGCCAGAGAAGGGGAAGUGGAUAAUUUGCUUAAAUGCAUUGAAAGUGGUGUUUCAGUGGAUCAGAAAGAUGGUGAGGGAAGGACCCCAUUGCAUUGGGCUGUGGAUCGUGGGCACCUGAACACGACAGAGCUGCUUGUUAACAAGAAUGCCAACAUUAAUGAAAAGGACAAUGAGGGCCAAACUGCAUUGCACUAUGCGGUUACGUGCGAUAGAGAAGGCAUACCUUGUGAAGCAAAAUGCCGACACGAGUGCAAAGGACAACGAUGGCAACUCUCCAAGUGAUAUCUGUGAGUCAAACUGGCCUUGGUUGCAGGUUGCAAAGGAGAAGAGUCACUGACCGACCACGGUUUACUUUGGUUUUCUACGGCCGUAGUGUUUUUUAAAUAUUCCUGGGGGAUGUAUAUUGGUGAUGUAUUAUAACCCCAAUCUUUUCCUAAUCUGUUGUCUUCUGAAAAGAUUUCAAAAGAUAGAGCUGUAUGUGUAUGUAGUUUUCUACCUCGUCGUUGUGUAACCUCCGUUUUUUAGGGUUACUCGUUUUCCCUAUCGUGGAAGUGAAGGGAAAGGUUGAAAUCACUGGGUGUAACUAGUACGGUAUAGUGCAUAUCAAAGGCCUACUUUUUGCCACCGA
Non-coding RNA from Malus domestica (apple), 1538 nucleotides. Lineage: Eukaryota; Viridiplantae; Streptophyta; Magnoliopsida; Rosales; Rosaceae. The record is from RefSeq and is a predicted model, not a curated record.